UACGUAGGAACCGAGCGUUGUCCGGAUUCAUUGGGCGUAAAGAGCUCGUAGGCGGCCACUCAAGUCGAAUGUGAAACCUCGAGGCUUAACCUCGAGCCUGCAUUCGAUACUGGGCGGCUAGAGUCUGGUAGGGGGAUCUGGAAUUCCUGGUGUAGCGGUGGAAUGCGCAGAUAUCAGGAGGAACACCGGUGGCGAAGGCGGCAUCCUGGACCGGCAUUGACGCUGAGGCGCGAAAGCCAGGGGAGCAAACGGG
Molecule: ribosomal RNA, 253 nt
Filed under: uncultured bacterium
Lineage: Bacteria
Description: partial 16S ribosomal RNA
Rfam family: Bacterial small subunit ribosomal RNA
Source: RNAcentral